This 1126-nucleotide long non-coding RNA is filed under the name Numida meleagris (helmeted guineafowl). RNAcentral's name for it is "lncRNA (ENSNMEG00000003871.1)". The record is from RNAcentral. Lineage: Eukaryota; Metazoa; Chordata; Aves; Galliformes; Numididae.
UCCUGGCUUAGUGGCAAUGGGCACAGGCUGCUGAGCAGCUCCUCCACCUGUGCCAGUCUGGGGAUGCUGCCAUUGUGCCUCACUGCUCCCUGCUUGCUGCCCCUUCACAUUCUGGCAUAUCCCAAGUCUGACUCUUGCUUUUCCACACAAGGGAAUGGAAAUGGAACCCUUCUCCUGAUGUUUUUUCCAGAUCCCUUUUCCCACACUGUCCAUCCCUGGAAGGUGUCUCUGGCUGUGGUCCUCACACUUCUGCUUGGGUCAUUUGUCAUCAUUGUUUUUCUCUACAGAAAGCAAGCGGCACAGCGCAGAGAGCUGAGUGAGUCCAUGCAGCCCCUUCCACCACCAAAGUCCCUUGAAUGGAACUGAUAGAAGACUGCAGAGUGCUGGGUUUAUGCGAUGGGUUGGGGCCAUGGGAUCUUUGGGGCCUUGAGAUGUGUUGGGGCAAUGGGAUGUACUGGGGUUGUUGGAUGUGUCGUUCCUGAAUGAUCCACUUGCAAAACUCUUCCCCAAUCCAUUCCUUCCUAUUGGAUUAAUUCCUUUUUGCGGCCAAAGUGGUCAUUGGUCACUUAGCAGAACAAAAUGAUUUGGGGUCUGGGCAUGGUAGCAGCCCUGGGUUGAGAAGCUGUUCCCUCUGACCAUGCAUUUCCUUUGCUUCUAUUUUGCAGAGAGAAAAGAUGCAGAUUUGGUGGAACAAGCUGAAACACUAGGUGAGUUUUCUUCCCCAAACCGAGGAAUUUUGGGUCUUCCCAUGGGAAACUGUUCCCUCCGAUCAUCCAUUGCUGUUGUGUUUGCUUUUGCCUUCAUAUUAGUAAAAUUCCUUUUUGGGACCAAAGCAGUCCCUUGCCACUUACCAGAACAAAAAGAGUUGUGUCUGGGCAUGGGAGCAGCCAUGGGAUGGGAAGGUGUUCCCUCUGAUUCUGCAUUACCUUUGCUUCUAUUUUGCAGAGAGAAAAAAUGAAAUGCUGAGUAAGUCUGCCUCCCUAAAAUGAAGGAAAUUGUGGUCUGGCAUCAGGAUGAGAAGCUGUAACUUCUCUUUGUGACUCACUUUUUUUUUUUUUUUUUUUUUUUUUUUUUUUUUUUUUUUUUGCAGAGAGAAAGGAUGCAAUGUUGGGUGAGUCUCCCUCUC